RNAcentral lists this ribosomal RNA (1197 nucleotides) under Escherichia coli. RNAcentral's name for it is "partial 23S ribosomal RNA". It matches the Rfam family "Bacterial large subunit ribosomal RNA", at positions 365 to 1568 of the family's 2925-position model. Lineage: Bacteria; Pseudomonadati; Pseudomonadota; Gammaproteobacteria; Enterobacterales; Enterobacteriaceae. The record is from RNAcentral.
UGACAGCCCCGUACACAAAAAUGCACAUGCUGUGAGCUCGAUGAGUAGGGCGGGACACGUGGUAUCCUGUCUGAAUAUGGGGGGACCAUCCUCCAAGGCUAAAUACUCCUGACUGACCGAUAGUGAACCAGUACCGUGAGGGAAAGGCGAAAAGAACCCCGGCGAGGGGAGUGAAAAAGAACCUGAAACCGUGUACGUACAAGCAGUGGGAGCACGCUUAGGCGUGUGACUGCGUACCUUUUGUAUAAUGGGUCAGCGACUUAUAUUCUGUAGCAAGGUUAACCGAAUAGGGGAGCCGAAGGGAAACCGAGUCUUAACUGGGCGUUAAGUUGCAGGGUAUAGACCCGAAACCCGGUGAUCUAGCCAUGGGCAGGUUGAAGGUUGGGUAACACUAACUGGAGGACCGAACCGACUAAUGUUGAAAAAUUAGCGGAUGACUUGUGGCUGGGGGUGAAAGGCCAAUCAAACCGGGAGAUAGCUGGUUCUCCCCGAAAGCUAUUUAGGUAGCGCCUCGUGAAUUCAUCUCCGGGGGUAGAGCACUGUUUCGGCAAGGGGGUCAUCCCGACUUACCAACCCGAUGCAAACUGCGAAUACCGGAGAAUGUUAUCACGGGAGACACACGGCGGGUGCUAACGUCCGUCGUGAAGAGGGAAACAACCCAGACCGCCAGCUAAGGUCCCAAAGUCAUGGUUAAGUGGGAAACGAUGUGGGAAGGCCCAGACAGCCAGGAUGUUGGCUUAGAAGCAGCCAUCAUUUAAAGAAAGCGUAAUAGCUCACUGGUCGAGUCGGCCUGCGCGGAAGAUGUAACGGGGCUAAACCAUGCACCGAAGCUGCGGCAGCGACGCUGAUGCGUUGUUGGGUAGGGGAGCGUUCUGUAAGCCUGCGAAGGUGUGCUGUGAGGCAUGCUGGAGGUAUCAGAAGUGCGAAUGCUGACAUAAGUAACGAUAAAGCGGGUGAAAAGCCCGCUCGCCGGAAGACCAAGGGUUCCUGUCCAACGUUAAUCGGGGCAGGGUGAGUCGACCCCUAAGGCGAGGCCGAAAGGCGUAGUCGAUGGGAAACAGGUUAAUAUUCCUGUACUUGGUGUUACUGCGAAGGGGGGACGGAGAAGGCUAUGUUGGCCGGGCGACGGUUGUCCCGGUUUAAGCGUGUAGGCUGGUUUUCCAGGCAAAUCCGGAAAAUCAAGGCUGAGGCGUGAUG